UCUCAAUGCAGAGAGUUUCAGAUUGCUGGUGUUUGUGGUUGGGACCCACCGAGCCAGAUCACCUGGCUUCCUGUUUGAGCCCCCUUUUUCUCAGAUGAUUGGGCAACUCUGUCUCCCAGGUGUUCCAGGUGCCAGUUGAAAUUGCUGCCUAGAUUUGUGUGAGCUUUUGUGUGGAGACCCUCUGCGCCAGCUGAAACAGCCAUGCUGGAGACUUGUGGAGCUUUUCUGACAGGGAAUCUCCUGGUCUGUGGGCAGUUGCACUUUUAUGCC
Long non-coding RNA from Sapajus apella (tufted capuchin), 270 nucleotides. RefSeq lists it as uncharacterized. The record is from RefSeq and is a predicted model, not a curated record. NCBI's taxonomy places the organism in Eukaryota, Metazoa, Chordata, Mammalia, Primates, Cebidae. The transcript has 3 exons.